AGCGAACGCUGGCGGUAGGCCUAACACAUGCAAGUCGAACGGCAGCACAGUAAGAGCUUGCUCUUACGGGUGGCGAGUGGCGGACGGGUGAGGAAUACAUCGGAAUCUACUUUUUCGUGGGGGAUAACGUAGGGAAACUUACGCUAAUACCGCAUACGACCUACGGGUGAAAGCAGGGGAUCUUCGGACCUUGCGCGAUUGAAUGAGCCGAUGUCGGAUUAGCUAGUUGGCGGGGUAAAGGCCCACCAAGGCGACGAUCCGUAGCUGGUCUGAGAGGAUGAUCGGCCACACUGGAACUGAGACACGGUCCAGACUCCUACGGGAGGCAGCAGUGGGGAAUAUUGGACAGUGGGCGCAAGCCUGAUCCAGCCAGACCGCGUGGGUGAAGAAGGCCUUCGGGUUGUAAAGCCCUUUUGUUGGGAAAGAAAAGCAGCAGGUUAAGACCCCGCUGUUCUGACGGUACCCAAAGAAUAAGCACCGGCUAACUUCGUG
This 492-nucleotide ribosomal RNA is filed under the name uncultured bacterium. Its description in RNAcentral is "partial 16S ribosomal RNA". It matches the Rfam family "Bacterial small subunit ribosomal RNA", at positions 29 to 507 of the family's 1533-position model. The record is from RNAcentral.